Camellia sinensis is the source of this 2278-nucleotide non-coding RNA. The record is from RefSeq and is a predicted model, not a curated record. NCBI's taxonomy places the organism in Eukaryota, Viridiplantae, Streptophyta, Magnoliopsida, Ericales, Theaceae.
AAAAAAAAUAGUUGCCAAAUUAGUACUUUUAGCAACUAAUAUUUUAGUCGUCGUUGAUUGAGAUUUGGCGACUAAAAAAGUUUGUCAGCGAAGGUACCUUUUCUGUGACUAACCUGCUCUUUUGGUUGCCAAAAAUUUGGGAGGGAAAUUUGAAAUGUGGAGGUGGGAAUUAAAAGCCCUGACUCCCAAGAUCAAAAAAUAAAAAAAAAAAUCAAAAGCCCUGAUUCCCAAGAUCAAUCUAUAGCCAAUGUUUCUAAUCAUAAAGGAAGAACAAAGAACACCAUUAGUGGCAUGGGUUAGUGAGAGAAGCUCUUCCAUUCUCUGGAAUUCCUAAAAUUCUAGGGUUUCAAUAGCUCAUUGAUGUCGAUAGAGUCUCCACAGUUUACCAAAGGGGUUUCGUCUAAGGCUAAGGAUGUAGUUAGGGAUUUGAAAUCACCAGUGUUAUUUGGUUUGGGGCAAACUAAAUCGGGUUUGAGCUUAGAGCAAGGGGAAUCGAAAAUUUCCUCUGAGGAAGUUCCUUCGAUUAGUGUUAACAGAUUGACGAUGGGGGGUGAAGGGAGUCUUAGCCCUAGUUCGAGGUCGUUCGCUGCUUCUAUGGAGGGUCUUCGAUCAGAAAUUGUUACGAUAGAUGCUCUUGGUCCUGAUGAGCGAGGUUCAACUAGAGGUAGGGUUUCAAAUCAGGGUUCGGAUGUGAUGAUUUCUCAGUCUCAGGCUAUUGAGGACCUGCAGGCUAGGCUCAACACCAUUUGUUUCAAAUAUGUUGCGGGUUUUAAAGGAGGAUCUGGUACCCAUUGAACUUGCUCAAGAAGAAAUAUCCACUCCUGCACUUCAGCGUUCAACCUGCUUCAGACUAAGUGGUCGGACAUUGUUGAAAUGGAAGGGGGAGAGGAGGUUGUUAUUUAUCGAUUCAAGGACUUACCUGAUAACCUGGUUGUGGCUAGGGCUAGAAAUUUGGUGUCAAAGCUUGAGUGAUGUGAGUCCACUCCAUUAUAUUGUGUGAGAGGGUGAGUUUGUGGGUUGAGUGACUGCAGCACUUCUACUGUUUUCUCUCACAGUUUGCUCUUGCAGGUUCCUAGCUGGCCCAGUUCUUUAGGGAUUGUGUAUUUCAGAUGAGAUGGCAAUACAGAAGCAGGUUCUCCUCCUGCUCACAUGGCACAAGUUGUAGCAAAUGCCUUUGUGGAGCGCUAUUACAAAGUGCUUCUUACUGAACCUAAAUCUUUUUACAAAUUUUAUGAGGAUUCAAGUAUGCUAAGCUAGCCAGGUCCGGAUGGAGAAAUGACAUCAGUGAAAACCAUAGAAAAUGGAAGAACAACACCUUCGGCUAGUAAAAACCCAACUUGAUCAGUGACUUGUAUGCACUCUUGUGUUUGGCCACUUCACAUAUUAAUGUUAGCCAUUUGCGGUUCUGUGCUUGCUUGCGUCUUUCUUGGAAUUUAAGAUUGUCCUAUUUUGCAUCUAUCUCUACUCCCCGGUGGGUAUACUCAUUCUGGAUUUGUUCUAAUUAUUAAACCUCUGUAUAUGGUGAAAAUACAUUUUGAACUCAAUGAUAUAUGGGAAGCACAGCGUCAUGCCUCAGAGAGACAACAAGAAUCCCAAUCUCCUUGAAAAUAUGAAAAGUUGAGAAAUUCAUUUAUUCAUGGAGGACGUGAAACUUGUGAAUCAUUUUGUGAUCCCAAUGAUGACAAUGAUUAUGAUAAUGGAGGCUUUGAUUUUGGUCCAUCUGAUUUUGACAUGCUAGAGAAUGCAUACGAGUAUGAAGAAGUACCACUGCAGCCUGAAAAGCAUGAUGACGGCGGUGUUUGUUUUGAAACCAAUGAACAUGAAGAUCCAGGUUCUCAAGCCAGCCUAGAAGAUCUUUGUUGAUCUACCUAUUGGUGAUGGAAAAAUUUGAGAGAGCUGAAAUGCUUCCAAGUGGCUAUUUCAUUCGGCCAUGCAAAGGUGGAGGGUCAAUUAUCCAUAAAGUUGAUAUGUUAGUUUGGAUCAGCUGCCGAGCAAGUUGAUAUGUUAAAUCAUUAAAGAAAGUGAAAGGCUUCAAGUUUUGUGUCAUGUUGGACUUCAAAGAGGAUAAAGCUUUUGAGAAGACAUGCUUACUAAAUUCAAUUUGACUUGAAUAUGUCUUGUGCUGCACUACAGUUACAUAUUUUCAUCUUUAUUUUAAAUGGAAUUCAAUUAUUGUUUGAUGAUUUAGUGAAGUUACAAGAAAGGAAAUUUGUUAAUUAUUGUUCCUAAGCUUUUUCUUUUUUAAAUGUUAUUGUUCCUUAAUUGUGGUUGGGUUGAA